CAACCCUUAAGCUUAGCUUAGUGUUGGGAAUCUACUUUGAGCGGAGCUACCCGGGACCCCUCGCGGGGCUACCCGGUAGCGCCCUGUAGUUCCUCAAAUCCAGCGGCGGAGCUGUGGUAUCCUCUGAGCGUAGUAAUUAUAUCUCGCUUUUGUAGGUGCUGCGGUGCUUGCCGUAAAACCCCCCAAUUUUCAAU
RNAcentral lists this unclassified non-coding RNA (194 nucleotides) under uncultured Xylariales. Its description in RNAcentral is "sequence contains ITS2". Lineage: Eukaryota; Fungi; Ascomycota; Sordariomycetes; Xylariales. The record is from RNAcentral.